AACGAACGCUGGCGGCAUGCCUAACACAUGCCAGUCGAACGAUGCCUUCGGGCAUAGUGGCGCACGGGUGCGUAACGCGUGGGAAUCUGCCCUUGGCUUCGGAAUAACAGUUAGAAAUGACUGCUAAUACCGGAUGAUGUCCCCCUGAGAGAUCUUGGGGACCAAAGAUUUAUCGGCCAGGGAUGAGCCCGCGUAGGAUUAGGUAGUUGGUGGGGUAAAGGCCUACCAAGCCGACGAUCCUUAGCUGGUCUGAGAGGAUGAUCAGCCACACUGGGACUGAGACACGGCCCAGACUCCUACGGGAGGCAGCAGUGGGGAAUAUUGGACAAUGGGGGGAACCCUGAUCCAGCAAUGCCGCGUGAGUGAUGAAGGCCUUAGGGUUGUAAAGCUCUUUUACCAGGGAUGAUAAUGACAGUACCUGGAGAAUAAGCGCCGGCUAACUCCGUG
Molecule: ribosomal RNA, 447 nt
Filed under: uncultured bacterium
Lineage: Bacteria
Description: partial 16S ribosomal RNA
Rfam family: Bacterial small subunit ribosomal RNA
Source: RNAcentral